GCAAGAAAAGUCACAGCCUUGGGGUUUCAGUGAAGAGACAGCCCAAAUGCUCUUGAAGUAGUCAGAAAAGUCUACAGGUGUGACUCCCUUAUGCCGCUCUCUCCUGCCAUUUGGGCAACAGCCAACUUCCGAGGCCAACCUUGUUUCUGGAGAAGCAUUCUUCCCACAUGGGAAAGGCAAGGAUGGUGCUGAGCCUGUCUGCCUCUGUGUUCCCUGGACAACUCCAUUCCAGUGCAAGAUUCUCAUGGUUGAAUUCAUCAGAAAUGUAAAAUUAACAAGGAAUUGUUCACCUGAUGAAAAGGAACAUGGAGAGAUGGUUCUUGAAUCUGAAUAGGAGGAGAUCGUGCCUGGACACACUAGGAAGAAUCUUCUGCAUUGAUUUGAUUAAAAAACAACUAUGUAAAUA
Long non-coding RNA from Homo sapiens (human), 406 nucleotides. Ensembl annotates it as long intergenic non-protein coding RNA 2911. Lineage: Eukaryota; Metazoa; Chordata; Mammalia; Primates; Hominidae. The record is from Ensembl.